This 246-nucleotide long non-coding RNA is filed under the name Vigna radiata. RNAcentral describes it as "long non-coding RNA (VRAD_LNC000114)". Lineage: Eukaryota; Viridiplantae; Streptophyta; Magnoliopsida; Fabales; Fabaceae. The record is from RNAcentral.
GACCCAGUUUUCUUUUAUUCUUCUUUUUCCAACUUCUAUAUUAUGUGAGGAUUGUUGUAAUAUUUAUGUGUUAUAUUCCAUUAGGAAAAAAUCUAGUGUUAUCUAGCUCACUCACACUUCAACAUGCACGUAUAUCUUCAAAUAAUAAGAUUUGUAGGGUUCGUGCACAAAAUCUCAAGACUUAAUAUUGAGUCUUAUUUUAGCUUUUUAAGUAUGUCUCAUUUUAAAAUCUUACUAAUUCCACCC